AAUGAACGUUGGCGGCGCGCCUAACACAUGCAAGUCGAACGAGAAAGCUCUUUCGGGAGUGAGUAAAGUGGCGGACGGUUGAGUAACACGUGAGAAUUUGCCCUUCAGUGAAGAAUAUCCUCGAGAAAUCGAGAUUAAUGCUGCAUACGUCCCUUCGGGGAGAAAAAUGGCCUCUUUGCUGUUGCUGAAGGAUAAGCUUGCGGGCUAUCAGCUAGUUGGUGAGGUAAUGGCUCACCAAGGCUAUGACGGCUAGCCGGCCUGAGAGGGUGAUCGGCCAGAUUGGAACUGAGAUACGGUCCAGACUCCUACGGGAGGCAGCAGUGAGGAGUCUUGCGCAAUGGACGAAAGUCUGACGCAGCGACGCCGCGUGGAGGAUGAAGGUCUUUGGAUUGUAAACUCCUGUUAAGUGGGAAGAAAUAUCCGUUCCUAAUACGAACGGAGGCUGACGGUACCACUAGAGAAAGCACCGGCUAACUUCGUGC
Molecule: ribosomal RNA, 482 nt
Filed under: uncultured bacterium
Lineage: Bacteria
Description: bacterial SSU rRNA
Rfam family: Bacterial small subunit ribosomal RNA
Source: RNAcentral